AGUGGAUGGGGAGCAACCUAGUUGUGCGUGUGUAAAGGUAGUGCCAAGAAAAGCGAUGAUCAUGUUGAAAAUCAAUUCCCGGUACCCGAAACCGACACGGGUGGGCAAGUAGAGAAUACUAAGGGGCGCGAGGUAACUCUCUCCAAGGAACUCGGCAAAAUGACCCCGUAACUUAGGGAGAAGGGGUGCCACCGAGAGGUGGUCGCAGUGAAGAGGCCCAGGCGACUGUUUAGCAAAAACAUAGGUCUCUGCAAACUCGAAAGAGGAGGUAUAGGGGCUGACGCCUGCCCAGUGCCGGAAGGUUAAAGAAGUUGGUCAGUCUUAGGAUGAAGCUAGCGACUGAAGCCCCGGUGAACGGCGGCCGUAACUAUAACGGUCCUAAGGUAGCGAAAUUCCUUGUCGGGUAAGUUCCGACCCGCACGAAAGGCGUAACGAUCUGGGCGCUGUCUCGGAGGGAGGCUCGGCGAAAUAGGAUUGUCUGUGAAGAUACGGACCACCUGCAUUUGGACAGAAAGACCCUAUGAAGCUUUACUAUAGCUUGGAAUUGUGUUCGGGCUUCCUGUGCGCAGGAUAGGUGGGAGGCGUAGAAGGUAUUCUUGUGGGGAUACUGGAGCCAACGGUGAGAUACCACUCUCAGGAGGCUAGAAUUCUAACUUAAUUAAGGACAGUUUCAGGUGGGUAGUUUGACUGGGGCGGUCGCCUCCAAAAAGGUAACGGAGGCGUACAAAGGUUCCCUCAGACUGGUUGGAAAUCAGUCGAAGAGUGCAAAGGCAGAAGGGAGCUUGACUGCGAGAAGUACAGUUCGAGCAGGGUGGAAACACGGUCUUAGUGAUCCGACGGUGCUGUGUGGAAGGGCCGUCGCUCAACGGAUAAAAGUUACUCUAGGAUAACAGGCUGAUCUCCCCCAAGAGUUCACAUCGACGGGGAGGUUUGGCACCUCGAUGUCGGCUCAUCGCAACCUGGGGCGGAAGUACGUCCCAAGGGUUGGGCUGUUCGCCCAUUAAAGCGGUACGUGAGCUGGGUUCAGAACGUCGUGAGACAGUUCGGUCCAUAUCCGAUGUAGGCGUGAGAAUAUUGAGAGGAGCCUUCCUUAGUACGAGAGGACCGGGAAGGACGCACCGCUGGUGUACCUGUUAUGAUGCCAAUUGUAAACGCAGGGUAGCCAAGUGCGGAGAGGAUAACCGCUGAAAGCAUCUAAGUGGGAAGCCCACCUCAAGAUGAGUAUUCUGGUGUAAGGUCACGGGAAGACGACCCGUAAAUAGGCACGAGGUGGAAGUGCAGAGAUGUAUGAAGCCGAAGUGUACUAAUAGACCGUCGGCUUGA
Molecule: ribosomal RNA, 1323 nt
Filed under: metagenome
Description: bacterial LSU rRNA
Rfam family: Bacterial large subunit ribosomal RNA
Source: RNAcentral